Molecule: signal recognition particle RNA, 205 nt
Filed under: Trichobilharzia regenti
Lineage: Eukaryota; Metazoa; Platyhelminthes; Trematoda; Strigeidida; Schistosomatidae
Description: Metazoan signal recognition particle RNA
Rfam family: Metazoan signal recognition particle RNA
About the family: The signal recognition particle (SRP) is a universally conserved ribonucleoprotein. It is involved in the co-translational targeting of proteins to membranes.
Source: Rfam by way of RNAcentral
GCUGGGCGUGGUGUCAUGCGCCUGUAAUCUAGCUACUUGGAGGCCAGGAUGCGGAAUUUAGUGGUACCGGGAGUUCUGGCACAUGAGUGCUCAUGUUGAUCAGGCAUCCACGCUAAGCACGGCGCCGAUAUGAAUCACCUGUCGGAGGACGGGUUGUCCAAGUCGACUAAGGAAGGGCGCACCAGCACAUGAGGGAAACCCAGCA